AGCUUUGCACAGUAGCAGUAUCGUAGCCAAUGAGGUUAAUCCGAGGCGCGAUUAUUGCUAAUUGCAGCAGCAACAAUUAUUACUAUCCUAGAACUCAAUGACAGACCAGCUAUCAGACUCGAAAUGCGCCAAUUGUAUACAGUAGAGUCUCGCUUACCCAAGCCUCACUUAUCCAAGUUUCUGGAUUAUCCAAGCCAUUUUUAGUCAAUGUUUUCAAUAUAUCGUGAUAU
This 230-nucleotide small nuclear RNA is filed under the name Anolis carolinensis (green anole). Its description in RNAcentral is "U4 spliceosomal RNA (ENSACAG00000024659.1)". The stretch from base 1 to 67 matches the Rfam family "U4 spliceosomal RNA". The record is from RNAcentral. Lineage: Eukaryota; Metazoa; Chordata; Lepidosauria; Squamata; Anolidae.